GUUCAUCUGUUAUGAUCUUUGUGUGUUAGUUGUAUUUCCCAGAGAUUAUUGGACAUCUGCUGAAGUGGAAGUGGAGGGUGUUUCAGACCAAAGAGGUUAUUGGAUAUUUGCACAAGUGGAAGGUGUUUCAAAGAAAAGAGAUUAUUGAGCAUUUGCUGAAGUGGAAGUGGAGGGUCUUUCAAACCAAAGAGAUUAUUGGACAUUAAGCUGAAGUGGAAGUGGAGGGUCUUUCAAACCAAAGAGAUUAUUGGACAUUAAGCUGAAGUGGAAGUGGAGGGUGUUGCAAACCAAAG
Molecule: long non-coding RNA, 293 nt
Organism: Sardina pilchardus (European sardine)
Lineage: Eukaryota; Metazoa; Chordata; Actinopteri; Clupeiformes; Clupeidae
Exons: 5
Source: RefSeq, a predicted model, not a curated record